GAGUUUGAUCGUGGCUCAGAACGAACGCUGGCGGCAUGCCUAACACAUGCAAGUCGAACGAAGUCUUCGGACUUAGUGGCGCACGGGUGCGUAACGCGUGGGAAUCUGCCCUUGGGUACGGAAUAACUCAGAGAAAUUUGUGCCUAAUACCGUAUAAUGUCUUCGGACCAAAGAUUUAUCGCCCAAGGAUGAGCCCGCGUAAGAUUAGCUAGUUGGUGAGGUAAGAGCUCACCAAGGCGACGAUCUUUAGCUGGUCUGAGAGGAUGAUCAGCCACACUGGGACUGAGACACGGCCCAGACUCCUACGGGAGGCAGCAGUGGGAAUAUUGGACAAUGGGCGAAAGCCUGAUCCAGCAAUGCCGCGUGAGUGAUGAAGGCCUUAGGGUUGUAAAGCUCUUUUACCCGGGAUGAUAAUGACAGUACCGGGAGAAUAAGCUCCGGCUAACUCCGUGCCAGCCGCCGCCGU
Molecule: ribosomal RNA, 466 nt
Filed under: uncultured microorganism
Description: bacterial SSU rRNA
Rfam family: Bacterial small subunit ribosomal RNA
Source: RNAcentral